GACGAAGGGAGCGAGCGUUGUUCGGUAUCACUGGGCUUAAAGGGCGCGUAGGCGGUCUGCUAUGUCGGUUGUGAAAUCCUCAGGCUUAACCUGAGAAUUGCUGCCGAAACUGGCAGACUUGAGGUGUUCUGGGGGUGCCUGGAACUCUUGGUGGAGCGGUGAAAUGCGUAGAUAUCAAGAGGAACGCCGGUGGUGAAGACGGGGCACUGGGAACAUUCUGACGCUGAGGCGCGAAAGCCAGGGGAGCGAACGGG
Molecule: ribosomal RNA, 254 nt
Filed under: uncultured bacterium
Lineage: Bacteria
Description: partial 16S ribosomal RNA
Rfam family: Bacterial small subunit ribosomal RNA
Source: RNAcentral